UACGUAGGUCCCGAGCGUUGUCCGGAUUUAUAGGGCGUAAAGCGAGCGCAGGUGGUUUAUUAAGUCUGGUGUAAAAGGCAGUGGCUCAACCAUUGUAUGCAUUGGAAACUGGUAGACUUGAGUGCAGGAGAGGAGAGUGGAAUUCCAUGUGUAGCGGUGAAAUGCGUAGAUAUAUAGAGGAACACCGGUGGCGAAAGCGGCUCUCUGGCCUGUAACUGACACUGAGGCUCGAAAGCGUGGGGAGCAAACAGG
Molecule: ribosomal RNA, 252 nt
Filed under: uncultured bacterium
Lineage: Bacteria
Description: partial 16S ribosomal RNA
Rfam family: Bacterial small subunit ribosomal RNA
Source: RNAcentral